Molecule: ribosomal RNA, 1651 nt
Filed under: metagenome
Description: bacterial LSU rRNA
Rfam family: Bacterial large subunit ribosomal RNA
Source: RNAcentral
AGGCUAAACACUACCGAGAGACCGAUAGCGCACAGUACCGUGAGGGAAAGGUGAAAAGAACCCCGCGCAGGGGAGUGAAAAAGAACCUGAAACCAUACGCCUACAAGCGGUCGGAGCCACUAUGUGUGGUGACGGCGUGCCUUUUGCAUAAUGAACCUGCGAGUUGCCGUCGUCGGCGAGGCUAAGUGCCGAAGGCACGGAGCCGGAGCGAAAGCGAGUCCGAACAGGGCGUUUAGUCGGCGGGGGCAGACGCGAAACCGAGUGAUCUACGCAUGAGCAGGAUGAAGGACAGGUAACACUGUCUGGAGGUCCGAACCGGUAAGCGUUGAAAAGCUUUCGGAUGACUUGUGCGUAGGAGUGAAAGGCCAAUCAAACUCGGAGAUAGCUCGUACUCCCCGAAAUGCAUUUAGGUGCAGCCCGGGCAAAGUACCGUGGAGGUAGAGCGACCGAUAGGAUGCGAGGGCUUCGCCGCCUGUCAAGUCCUGACGAACUCCGAAUGCCACGGCACGGUUGCCCGGAGUGAGGGCGCGGGUGCUAAGGUCCGCGUCCGAGAGAGGAACAACUCAGACCACCAGUCAAGGCCCCGAAAUCCGGGCUAAGUUGAAGACAAUAACGAGGUGGGGCCGCAGAGACAGCUAGGAUGUUGGCUUGGAAGCAGCCACUCAUUCAAAGAGUGCGUAACAGCUCACUAGUCGAGCGGCCCCGCGUGGAUAAUAAUCGGGCAUAAGUCCGGUGCCGAAACUGUGGGAUGGUCCAUAAGGGCCAUCGGUAGGGGAGCAUUCCGAUACCGGCGAAGCAGGUCCGCGAGGGUCUGUGGAGGAGUCGGAAAAGCAAAUGCAGGUAUAAGUAACGACAAAUGGGGCGGGAAACCCCAUCGCCGAAAGACCAAGGGUUCCCGGGCGACGCUAAUCGGCCCGGGGUAAGUCGGGACCUAACGCGGGCCAGGUAUGGUCACGCGGAUGGACACGCGGUCAAUAUUCCGCGACCCGGCGCCAUGGAGUCCCAGCGGGGACGGAGAAGCGAAACAUGGGCGCGCUGACGGAAUAGCGCGUUGAAGGACAAAGCUCGGUGGCGCGGCGGAAACGCGCCUUGCGAAGUCCGAGAGUACACAAGGCCUUCGGGCCGCGUGAGCCAUGGAGGAGCCAGCUCCCGAGAAAAGCCGCGCGGGGCGUCUGACAUGGGGUCGGCCCGUACCGGAAACCGACACAGGUGGUCGGGUAGAAUAUACCGAGGCGCUCGAGAGACUCACGGUCAAGGAACUAGGCAAACUGGCCCCGUAACUUAGGGAUAAGGGGCCCUCCCCCCUCAUCAAGGGGAGGCGCAGAGAAUAGGUCCAGGCAACUGUUUAGCAAAAACACAGGGCUGUGCUAAGCCGCAAGGCGCGGUAUACAGUCUGACACCUGCCCGGUGCCGGAAGGUUAAGCGGAGCUGUCAGAGCGAUCGAAGCAGUGAAGUGAAGCCCCGGUAAACGGCGGCCGUAACUAUAACGGUCCUAAGGUAGCGAAAUUCCUUGUCGGGUAAGUUCCGACCUGCACGAAUGGUGUAAUGAUCCGGACACUGUCUCGACCGUGAGCUCGGUGAAAUUGUAGUAUCGGUGAAGAUGCCGAUUACCCGCAACGGGACGAAAAGACCCCGUGAACCUUUACUGCAG